UUAGCAAGUGAGGGAGGGCUCCUGUGUCUUGUGGAGUCACUAAAUUAGGAAUCAUUUCUCCAGUGUUCACAACUGCAGCAUCCAGGAGUCUGCUGUCUGACUGCGCCAUGUGCUACAAUGCUACAGGGGCGGCUGCGGGGCGUUCAACCAGAGGGGAGCAGUUCACAGGGCCGGUUUGCUCCGCAGCAUCUCGGCAGGUGGAUGGUCCCUUUGCAGAGCUCUGCUGGGAGAAACAGCCCCCAGAAGCUCUGACUUCAAUCAGUGAAUGCUGUGCUGAACCUCACUUCAACCUCAACAUUAAACAGAAGCGUUUUGUGAGUCUGUAAAGCAGUGCCUGAACUGCAGCCUGUUUCUCAGGCCAGUUCAGUCUUGUGGUCUCGGUUCCUUUGGGCUCUCAGUGACCGUGCAGCAGCCAGCGCCUUCUGCAGCUCCCUUCCACCCUGGGCAUGUUUGCACAGCAAAGCCGAUACAAGCUGGCGGCACCACAGUGCUCAUUAAUUUUUGGUUGCAUUUCUAAUAAUGGUGCUCAGUAAUUAGCGUUACCGUGUGAUCUAUUCCAGUUUCAUCAAACAAUGCUGAAUCCGCCUGUAUAAUGAAAAUAGGCUCCGUUCUGGAUUUUUGCAGCUCGACUACUACAUAAAAAUCUGCUUUUAUUAACAGUAAUAUUUAACAGCAAAAGCAAGAGGUGUUGAUGGAACCAGGCACAGCCCUUAAUACUUCCCGCAGCAAUGGCCCAGCCAAAGCACCUCCCUGAUAAACUCUGACGUGAGGGAAUGUAUUACGCACCGCACAAUUACUAUUUAUAGAGAAAAGAACUAAUGGGAAUAAAACAAGAAUAUUAUGCUGUGUUUCUUCUUCUGCCCCAAAUGCUUCAUUUGUUUCGUACUCCUGAGUCUUGGAAGAUGUGGCUCAGUGCAAAUACCGAACAGUAAUUCAAGCCAGUGUAAACCACACUGAAACAGGAGGUGCCCCAGCUUUGCCCAUCAGUAAAGCAGGCUCUCCGUGCAGUCUGCAGUCACAAAGGACAAGGCACAGAACAUGGGAGAAUCGAGUCCUGGAAGUAGCAAGCACCGCAGUUGGAAAGUAACGUUACAUGAUGGAGGCACUGCAAUAAACGCUGCCUUGUGCAGGAGGAGCCCGGAGCUGGAGCCUGAGGCUGGAUCCAUCCCACGCGGCUUUUCCCAUCCUACUUUAGUCACACUUUGCUGCUACAGCAACAGGCAGCGCUGCCAAGGAAGGUGACCCCGGCGUCAGCAUCGGGCUCGUGCAGGGAGUGCGCGCUCAGAAGUGAAUUCCAUGUGAUAAACGAGAGAGAGGCAGAAAGGUGCAAACCCAGGCAGCCCUGUGAGUCGAGGUGCCCACAUUAUGAACACUGGCACCUUAUUGGCCAAGCCUUCCUCUUCUGCCUGCUCCCCAUCCAGCGUUUUUCUUCAGUGUUUCAAUGGCAAGAGGGAAGAAGAAAUUAACUGAAGUGUACUCAUGUGAGUCAGCUCUGGCUGGAAAGCGGGACCCAGAGGAGAAAACACGAUGGUGUAGAGCUAUCUUAGUACAACAAAAUUGUUAACAGCAAAAUAAUCGCUAUUUGCUUAGCUGCAAGUAACUGGGGAGCACUGUGGCUGCUCUCAUUAAUACCCUAUUAACACAACUGGCUGUUGCGCUGCGUGGCAGUGGUGUUAAAGCCAUGGGGGAAUGCAGGCGGGUGAUGAUGAGGGGUGAGGAAGAGCCCAGUUCUGCCCCACCACACCCUCACCCAUGUGUCACUGCCAUCCAUGUGUGAUGCACAUCAGACCUGCCUGGAAGUGGCCAAAUUCCACCUUCAUCCUUUCUCAGCUGAAUAAAAAACAAAACUGUCUGAAAUGUGAUUGAGAGGAAAGCU
Molecule: long non-coding RNA, 1876 nt
Organism: Coturnix japonica (Japanese quail)
Lineage: Eukaryota; Metazoa; Chordata; Aves; Galliformes; Phasianidae
Source: RefSeq, a predicted model, not a curated record